UUCAUUCUGCCCUAUCACUUUCGAUGGUAGGAUAGUGGCCUACCAUGGUGGCAACGGGUAACGGGGAAUUAGGGUUCGAUUCCGGAGAGGGAGCCUGAGAAACGGCUACCACAUCCAAGGAAGGCAGCAGGCGCGCAAAUUACCCAAUCCCGAUACGGGGAGGUAGUGACAAUAAAUACUGAUACGGGGCUCUUUUGGGUCUCGUAAUUGGAAUGAGAACAAUUUAAAUCCCUUAACGAGGAACAAUUGGAGGGCAAGUCUGGUGCCAGCAGCCGCGGUAAUUCCAGCUCCAAUAGCGUAUAUUAAAGUUGUUGCAGUUAAAAAGCUCGUAGUUGAACCUUGGCCCUGGCUGGCCGGUCCGCCUCACCGCGAGUACUGGUCCGGCUGGGGCUUUCCUUCUGGGGAACCUCAUGGCCUUCACUGGCUGUGGGGGGAACCAGGACUUUUACUGUGAAAAAAUUAGAGUGUUCAAAGCAGGCCUUUGCUCGAAUACAUUAGCAUGGAAUAAUAGAAUAGGACGUGCGGUUCUAUUUUGUUGGUUUCUAGGACCGCCGUAAUGAUUAAUAGGGAUAGUCGGGGGCGUCAGUAUUCAGCUGUCAGAGGUGAAAUUCUUGGAUUUGCUGAAGACUAACUACUGCGAAAGCAUUCGCCAAGGAUGUUUUCAUUAAUCAGGGAACGAAAGUUAGGGGAUCGAAGACGAUCAGAUACCGUCGUAGUCUUAACCAUAAACUAUGCCGACUAGGGAUCGGACGGGAUUCUAUGAUGACCCGUUCGGCACCUUACGAGAAAUCAAAGUUUUUGGGUUCUGGGGGGAGUAUGGUCGCAAGGCUGAAACUAAAGAAAUUGACGGAAGGGCACCACAAGGCGUGGAGCCUGCGU
RNAcentral lists this ribosomal RNA (879 nucleotides) under uncultured fungus. RNAcentral's name for it is "SSU rRNA". It matches the Rfam family "Eukaryotic small subunit ribosomal RNA", at positions 301 to 1188 of the family's 1831-position model. The record is from RNAcentral. Lineage: Eukaryota; Fungi.